GCUUACGGCCACACCGCCUGGUUCACGCCUGAUCUCGGAAGCUAAGAUAGGUUGGUCCUGGUUAGUACUUGGAUGGGAGACCGCCUGGGAAUACCAGGUGCUGUAAGCU
Molecule: ribosomal RNA, 109 nt
Organism: Scophthalmus maximus (turbot)
Lineage: Eukaryota; Metazoa; Chordata; Actinopteri; Pleuronectiformes; Scophthalmidae
Source: Ensembl